RNAcentral lists this ribosomal RNA (1739 nucleotides) under Escherichia coli. Its description in RNAcentral is "partial 23S ribosomal RNA". It matches the Rfam family "Bacterial large subunit ribosomal RNA", at positions 1214 to 2925 of the family's 2925-position model. The record is from RNAcentral. Lineage: Bacteria; Pseudomonadati; Pseudomonadota; Gammaproteobacteria; Enterobacterales; Enterobacteriaceae.
CUAUGUGUUGUUGGGUAGGGGAGCGUUCUGUAAGCCUGUGAAGGUGUGCUGUGAGGUAUGCUGGAGGUAUCAGAAGUGCGAAUGCUGACAUAAGUAACGAUAAAGCGGGUGAAAAGCCCGCUCGCCGGAAGACCAAGGGUUCCUGUCCAACGUUAAUCGGGGCAGGGUGAGUCGACCCCUAAGGCGAGGCCGAAAGGCGUAGUCGAUGGGAAACAGGUUAAUAUUCCUGUACUUGGUGUUACUGCGAAGGGGGGACGGAGAAGGCUAUGUUGGCCGGGCGACGGUUGUCCCGGUUUAAGCGUGUAGGCUGGUUUUCCAGGCAAAUCCGGAAAAUCAAGGCUGAGGCGUGAUGACGAGGCACUACGGUGCUGAAGCAACAAAUGCCCUGCUUCCAGGAAAAGCCUCUAAGCAUCAGGUAACAUCAAAUCGUACCCCAAACCGACACAGGUGGUCAGGUAGAGAAUACCAAGGCGCUUGAGAGAACUCGGGUGAAGGAACUAGGCAAAAUGGUGCCGUAACUUCGGGAGAAGGCACGCUGAUAUGUAGGUGAAGUCCCUUGCGGAUGGAGCUGAAAUCAGUCGAAGAUACCAGCUGGCUGCAACUGUUUAUUAAAAACACAGCACUGUGCAAACACGAAAGUGGACGUAUACGGUGUGACGCCUGCCCGGUGCCGGAAGGUUAAUUGAUGGGGUUAGCGGUAACGCGAAGCUCUUGAUCGAAGCCCCGGUAAACGGCGGCCGUAACUAUAACGGUCCUAAGGUAGCGAAAUUCCUUGUCGGGUAAGUUCCGACCUGCACGAAUGGCGUAAUGAUGGCCAGGCUGUCUCCACCCGAGACUCAGUGAAAUUGAACUCGCUGUGAAGAUGCAGUGUACCCGCGGCAAGACGGAAAGACCCCGUGAACCUUUACUAUAGCUUGACACUGAACAUUGAGCCUUGAUGUGUAGGAUAGGUGGGAGGCUUUGAAGUGUGGACGCCAGUCUGCAUGGAGCCGACCUUGAAAUACCACCCUUUAAUGUUUGAUGUUCUAACGUUGGCCCCUGAUCGGGGUUGCGGACAGUGUCUGGUGGGUAGUUUGACUGGGGCGGUCUCCUCCUAAAGAGUAACGGAGGAGCACGAAGGUUGGCUAAUCCUGGUCGGACAUCAGGAGGUUAGUGCAAUGGCAUAAGCCAGCUUGACUGCGAGCGUGACGGCGCGAGCAGGUGCGAAAGCAGGUCAUAGUGAUCCGGUGGUUCUGAAUGGAAGGGCCAUCGCUCAACGGAUAAAAGGUACUCCGGGGAUAACAGGCUGAUACCGCCCAAGAGUUCAUAUCGACGGCGGUGUUUGGCACCUCGAUGUCGGCUCAUCACAUCCUGGGGCUGAAGUAGGUCCCAAGGGUAUGGCUGUUCGCCAUUUAAAGUGGUACGCGAGCUGGGUUUAGAACGUCGUGAGACAGUUCGGUCCCUAUCUGCCGUGGGCGCUGGAGAACUGAGGGGGGCUGCUCCUAGUACGAGAGGACCGGAGUGGACGCAUCACUGGUGUUCGGGUUGUCAUGCCAAUGGCACUGCCCGGUAGCUAAAUGCGGAAGAGAUAAGUGCUGAAAGCAUCUAAGCACGAAACUUGCCCCGAGAUGAGUUCUCCCUGACUCCUUGAGAGUCCUGAAGGAACGUUGAAGACGACGACGUUGAUAGGCCGGGUGUGUAAGCGCAGCGAUGCGUUGAGCUAACCGGUACUAAUGAACCGUGAGGCUUAACCUUACAAC